RNAcentral lists this long non-coding RNA (200 nucleotides) under Elaeis guineensis (African oil palm). RNAcentral's name for it is "long non-coding RNA (EGUI_LNC055307)". Lineage: Eukaryota; Viridiplantae; Streptophyta; Magnoliopsida; Arecales; Arecaceae. The record is from RNAcentral.
UGUCCUAGGUAUGUGUGGAGCCAGAAAAAUUUAGUCAUGGAAAGGAUGCAUCAGACAUGAAUUAGGAUUUUUAUCGAUGGAUUUGUUUAACUACAAUUCGUUGGUCUAAUGUGAUUAGAAUUAAUGACUAUAGAUUAAAUCAAAUUCAUAGUUCUAAUUUAAUUAGAAGUUAUGUUUAAUUUAGGUUAAUCAAAUUAUCA